UUUGUUUUAAGAGCUUGGGCUACUCUGCAA
This 30-nucleotide non-coding RNA is filed under the name Mus musculus (house mouse). Lineage: Eukaryota; Metazoa; Chordata; Mammalia; Rodentia; Muridae. RNAcentral also lists the same sequence under 1 other name. The record is from RNAcentral.